GAAAUGCACGGUUGGCACACAGCUUUCCAUGAGAACUCUCCGGCCUCACUUCAGAAGCACAGACUCUACCUGGCUGCCCUGCAUUACAAUGAAAAUACUGACUGACCACAGGCAACAUCUACAGGUGGAGAGCUGCUGUACAGUCAACUUCCUCAAAUCUAUGCAUGGAGAAUGAACUGCAAAGCCUGUGAAAGCAGAGCCAACAUUCCACUAUGUUGAUGCACUGUUGGACCUGAUCUUCAAGAAGAUUUUCCAGGACCCUGGCCCAUAUGUGAACGAGGUGCUGAAACUUACAAUCCCUGAAGACCUCUCGGCUCAGUAUUAAAGACCCAACAAGCUGGACGUUAUAGCCAGUUACGUGCCAAGGUUCAAUCAAGGACAGGACUGAACCUAACAUACUGUCCUUCAGCGUCGGGGAACUCUGCACGAAUCCUCAGCACCACACAGGCAGGCAGCACAGCUCUCACUCUCUGCCCCAGAAAGCCCCAGCACCAGCUUACAAAGCUUCUGUAGGCUACAUAUCUAUAUUGGCUGGACACAAUUCAGUAGAAAGUCAGCACUGAAUGUUCACAUCCAUGGCAACUGGCAAGUUUAACUGUUCCACUUUAGAUAUUUAUUUUGUAUGUCUACAAUUGUUUCUUGCAAUAAAACAUCUCUCCCAACUG
Acanthopagrus latus (yellowfin seabream) is the source of this 665-nucleotide long non-coding RNA. RefSeq lists it as uncharacterized. Lineage: Eukaryota; Metazoa; Chordata; Actinopteri; Spariformes; Sparidae. The record is from RefSeq and is a predicted model, not a curated record. The transcript has 3 exons.